GUUUUCUUCAAGAGAACCUGAAGUCAAAAAGCUGUUGUCCUGUGAAGCUGGUGCUGCUCCGUGGCCAGUCUCACCGGGAAAGGUGUACUGAGGUUCCACCAACCACAACCCUCUCUCGUGUGCUAGAUAGGUAUGUUCACAUGCAGAGUCGCUAUGUUUAUUUCCAAUUUUCAGAGGCAAGGCUGUGAAUUUUUUUUUUCAGGA
Molecule: long non-coding RNA, 204 nt
Organism: Micropterus salmoides (largemouth bass)
Lineage: Eukaryota; Metazoa; Chordata; Actinopteri; Centrarchiformes; Centrarchidae
Exons: 2
Source: RefSeq, a predicted model, not a curated record